AAAGGAAUUGACGGGGGCCCGCACAAGCGGAGGAACAUGUGGUUUAAUUCGAUGAUACGCGAGGAACCUUACCCGGGCUUGAAAUGCAUUUGAUCGGCAAAGAGAUUUGCCUUCCCUUCGGGGCAGAUGUGUAGGUGCUGCAUGGUUGUCGUCAGCUCGUGCCGUGAGGUGUCGGCUUAAGUGCCAUAACGAGCGCAACCCUUAUUGUUAGUUGCCAUCGGGUUAUGCCGGGGACUCUAACGAGACUGCCAUCGUAAGAUGCGAGGAAGGUGGGGAUGACGUCAAAUCAGCACGGCCCUUACGUCCGGGGCGACACACGUGUUACAAUGGGUGGUACAAAGAGCAGCUACAUGGUGACAUGGUGCUAAUCUCCAAAACCACUCUCAGUUCGGAUCGGAGUCUGCAACUCGACUUCGUGAAGCUGGAUUCGCUAGUAAUCGCGCAUCAGCCACGGCGCGGUGAAUACGUUCCCGGGCCUUGUACACACCGCCCGU
RNAcentral lists this ribosomal RNA (494 nucleotides) under uncultured bacterium. RNAcentral's name for it is "bacterial SSU rRNA". It matches the Rfam family "Bacterial small subunit ribosomal RNA", at positions 903 to 1397 of the family's 1533-position model. The record is from RNAcentral.